AAAAAAGUCACGAGUCAUUCCUGCGCGAGCCACUUCUGUCUCUUGCCUCCGCUCGAGCUCUGUUCCCUCCGUGGCACAAGAACCAUCAUGCAAGCAAAAAGCCAAAGUUGUUAUUGGGUAUGCCCAGAGGGCCGAACUGACCGAACGUCAUGAGUCAGGCUGACUUGAAGAUGAAUUUGUGCCCAGUGGAAGUCCUGACUUGAAAGCACUGCCUGCAUGUGUGUGUCACCAGAUGAUCAGAGCUUAAUGCUCCCGGUUGG
Molecule: long non-coding RNA, 260 nt
Organism: Epinephelus fuscoguttatus (brown-marbled grouper)
Lineage: Eukaryota; Metazoa; Chordata; Actinopteri; Perciformes; Serranidae
Exons: 3
Source: RefSeq, a predicted model, not a curated record